Molecule: ribosomal RNA, 447 nt
Filed under: uncultured bacterium
Lineage: Bacteria
Description: partial 16S ribosomal RNA
Rfam family: Bacterial small subunit ribosomal RNA
Source: RNAcentral
CCCAGACUCCUACGGGAGGCAGCAGUGGGGGAUAUUGCACAAUGGGGGGAACCCUGAUGCAGCGACGCCGCGUGGGUGAAGGAGCGUUUCGGCGCGUAAAGCCCUAUCGGCAGGGAAGAAGGAGGACGGUACCUGACUAAGAAGCCCCGGCUAACUACGUGCCAGCAGCCGCGGUAAUACGUAGGGGGCAAGCGUUAUCCGGAUUUACGGGGUGUAAAGGGGGCGCAGACGGCAGCGCAAGCCAGGAGUGAAAGCCCGGGGCCCAACCCCGGGACUGCUCUUGGAACUGCGCGGCUGGAGUGCAGGAGGGGCAGGCGGAAUUCCUGGUGUAGCGGUGAAAUGCGUAGAUAUCAGGAGGAACACCGGUGGCGAAGGCGGCCUGCUGGACUGCGACUGACGUUGAGGCCCGAAAGCGUGGGGAGCAAACAGGAUUAGAUACCCUAGUAA